This 28-nucleotide non-coding RNA is filed under the name Homo sapiens (human). The record is from RNAcentral. Lineage: Eukaryota; Metazoa; Chordata; Mammalia; Primates; Hominidae.
UAGUGAGUGGAGGCUAUGUGGUUUUGUC